AUUUUCAACUAUAUUCAACUAAAACAACUUUAGUCAUAAUAAGUAACAAUUUUAUAGCCGAUUUCUUUAUAAUAUCUUUAAAAAUGUGCUAGACUUACUAUAUUCUGUCUCAUUUAUAUAUUUAUAUUUCUCUCCUUAUUCCUCAGUAAUAUAAGCUAUAAAAUUCUAAAUAUAAUGAAAUGCACAUUACGAAAUGAAAUACUUACUAAGACUCAAAUAUACAUCUAUCUUUCUGUAAUUACAUUGCCUUUUACUA
This 256-nucleotide unclassified non-coding RNA is filed under the name Hevea brasiliensis (rubber tree). Lineage: Eukaryota; Viridiplantae; Streptophyta; Magnoliopsida; Malpighiales; Euphorbiaceae. The record is from RNAcentral.